Long non-coding RNA from Dreissena polymorpha, 221 nucleotides. RefSeq lists it as uncharacterized. NCBI's taxonomy places the organism in Eukaryota, Metazoa, Mollusca, Bivalvia, Myida, Dreissenidae. The record is from RefSeq and is a predicted model, not a curated record. The transcript has 3 exons.
AACCCCUGUCAGAAUGGUGGCGCGUGCACUGACGGACUUGCCACUUACACGUGCAACUGUUUGUCCGGUUACACGGGAGCUACAUGUGCUACAAACAUCAAGUGUUCCUCCACUCCGUGUCGAAACGGGGCUACUUGUAACGAUGGUGUCAUUGGAUAUACGUGUUCGUGUGUUGUUGGGUUUACCGGUAUCCACUGUGAGACAAACAUAAAUGAGUGCAU